UUGUCUAUUGCCGAACUUUAUAUGCAGUUUAAGAGUCAUAACCCACUCAAGAGCGGGGUAUAGACACUUCAAUAACAUCUCCAGAAAGAAGUGUUUUGGAUACCCUCUGGUUGUAUCAGUGGAAAAUAUAAAGACCCUAAGAGAGAUCGAUAGAUUGACGGGCUAGCCAAUCACCACACGAAUUGCCUUCUCUAAAUAUGUGUAACACCUGAGUCUGCCAAUCCUUGUCUAGAAGAGCCCGAAUAGAAUGAGCAAGAGCCGAAAUAGGCAGUGCCACCCGACCCUGAUCAGUGAUGAGUUUUAUGUACAAUAUUGGAAUCAACCUCCACGAUGAUUCAUCUAAAGCCGGAAGCCCUCGCAAGCUUAAGAGUCAAGACUAGACUUGACACCCCAUAGUUCUGCAGCUACAGCUGAGGAGAGGCCAAUGUUCUGGGCGCCCAGUAAACUAGCCCCCGGCUCCUGCAUCACGGAUCGAGCUCAAGGCACCCCGGAUUGCCUUGAGAGGCUCCAUCUGUAUUUAAUUUCACCCAACCCUGGAAGGUCUGAACACAAGAGGAAAGUUGGAUCAUCUAUGUCACACAACCUGCCCUUGUAUAUCUCACCGGGGCUUCUAGCAUGGGUUCGUCUACUCUCAAUUGGAGUUCCCUGAUUCAGAUACUUGCUGAAAUUCUCGGAGGCGCAGACGAUAGCGGAAGGUGAUGGAAGGGGCAUAGUACAAGUCCACGUCGACGUCGAAGUUGGAGCCGGUCAAGUUGGUUGGAGAACGCUAGUGGCAGCGGAGAGGAUCGAUCAAUCCAAUUUGGGAUUAGGUUUCCUGAUGAUUUGCUUAAUGUUGUUGAUUUGAUUUUAGACGAUGGAGAUGUAUAGGUUUGUGUUUCUUUUGGCUUAAUUUUAAUUAAUUUCUUUUGAUUUUAAUUGUUUUAUUUUAAUCUCUUCUCUUUGCCAAGUUUAAUUGAUCCGGGCCAGUUGGGUUCCGAAAAUAUACGAACUGGGAUAGAUUUAUUCAUUCAA
Molecule: non-coding RNA, 1011 nt
Organism: Punica granatum (pomegranate)
Lineage: Eukaryota; Viridiplantae; Streptophyta; Magnoliopsida; Myrtales; Lythraceae
Source: RefSeq, a predicted model, not a curated record